Non-coding RNA from Oryza meridionalis, 205 nucleotides. The record is from Rfam. NCBI's taxonomy places the organism in Eukaryota, Viridiplantae, Streptophyta, Magnoliopsida, Poales, Poaceae.
AACAAGCGCAACUAUAAAUUUUCGUGUCCAACUUGGAUCGCCCGUCCUAUUUGAAUUUUUUUUUAUAAUUAGUAUUCUUAUUGCUAUUAGAUUAUAAAAUAUGAAUAGUACUUUUAUGCGUGACUUAUGUUUUUAGUUUUUUUAAAAAAAAUCAAAUAAAACGGACUAUUAAAGUUAGACACGGAAAAAUAUGACUGCACUUAUU